RNAcentral lists this ribosomal RNA (205 nucleotides) under uncultured bacterium. RNAcentral's name for it is "partial 16S ribosomal RNA". It matches the Rfam family "Bacterial small subunit ribosomal RNA", at positions 524 to 727 of the family's 1533-position model. The record is from RNAcentral.
UACGAAGGGGGGCUAGCGUUGCUCGGAAUCACUGGGCGUAAAGCGCGUGUAGGCGGCUAAGUAAGUCGGGCGUGAAAUCCCACGGCUCAACCGUGGAAGUGCACUCGAAACUGCAUAGCUAGAGUCCUGGAGAGGAAGGUGGAAUGCUUGGUGUAGAGGUGAAAUUCGUAGAUAUCAAGCGGAACACCGGUGGCGAAGGCGGCCU